ACUCAAAAACCGGUACCCACGUUCGGAUUGUAGGCUGCAACUCGCCUACAUGAAGUCGGAGUUGCUAGUAAUCGCGGAUCAGAAUGCCGCGGUGAAUGCGUUCCCGGGUCUUGUACACACCGCCCGUCACACCAUGGAAGUUGGGGGCGCCCGAAGUUGCCUAAGAAAUAAGGUACCUAAGGCGAAACCAAUGACUGGGGUGAAGUCGUAACAAGGUACC
RNAcentral lists this ribosomal RNA (220 nucleotides) under uncultured bacterium. Its description in RNAcentral is "partial 16S ribosomal RNA". It matches the Rfam family "Bacterial small subunit ribosomal RNA", at positions 1272 to 1500 of the family's 1533-position model. The record is from RNAcentral.